RNAcentral lists this microRNA precursor (104 nucleotides) under Haemonchus contortus (barber pole worm). RNAcentral's name for it is "microRNA hco-mir-5352 precursor". Lineage: Eukaryota; Metazoa; Nematoda; Chromadorea; Rhabditida; Trichostrongylidae. The record is from miRBase by way of RNAcentral.
UCAAAUGUCGCCCCAAACCCUGCGGGCGUGCUCGUUGUGCAGUGUGUUGUCUGAUCAUUGCACAUGAUGUACGACCUGCAGGGUCAAUCCUUGACCCGUACCCC